RNAcentral lists this ribosomal RNA (291 nucleotides) under uncultured eukaryote. RNAcentral describes it as "partial 18S ribosomal RNA". It matches the Rfam family "Eukaryotic small subunit ribosomal RNA", at positions 6 to 245 of the family's 1831-position model. The record is from RNAcentral.
GGUUGAUCCUGCCAGUUGUCAUAUGCUUGUUUCAAGGACUAAGCCAUGCAAGUGUGAGAGUACUCGGGACUUGUCUCGAGAGGUCUGUGUACGGCUCAUUAAACGGUUUAUUGUCUACCCAACGAAGGAUGUGCAUUUGCCACCCCAACGGGAUAACUUUGCUAACUGCAAAGCUAAUACCUGUAAGAAGAACCUCGUACCUUCAAAACAGGGAGGUGACCUCGGUUGCCUUUCUGUGGUUCGAGGUGCGCUUCGCCGAAACAAAAACCAACGCCGAUCUUUCGGCAGCUA